RNAcentral lists this non-coding RNA (237 nucleotides) under Paenibacillus sp. P22. Lineage: Bacteria; Bacillati; Bacillota; Bacilli; Caryophanales; Paenibacillaceae. The record is from RNAcentral.
UAGCCGACGUUGAAAGGGAAGAGCAUUCGCCUCGCCUACAGAGAGCAGACCGCAAGCGCUGGAAGGUCUGCAGGCAAGGAGCGGAUGCGGGUCGCCCCGGAGUUGCCCCGGUCAUGCUGCGCGAGCAGCGGAAGCCGGAGCCGGCCGCAGCCGAUAUCCUGCGCCAAAGUGCCGCAAGGAAGCUUUCUUGCGGAACAAAGGUGGUACCGCGGAAGCCUGAAGUCUUUCGUCCUUUGC